UGGGGAAUAUUGCGCAAUGGGCGGAAGCCUGACGCAGCGACGCCGCGUGGGGGAUGAAGGCCUUCGGGUUGUAAACCUCUUUCACCACCGACGAAGCUAACGUGACGGUAGGUGGGGAAGAAGCGCCGGCUAACUACGUGCCAGCAGCCGCGGUAAUACGUAGGGCGCAAGCGUUGUCCGGAAUUAUUGGGCGUAAAGAGCUCGUAGGCGGUCUGUCGCGUCUGCCGUGAAAUCCCGAGGCUUAACCUCGGGCCUGCGGUGGAUACGGGCAGACUAGAGGUAGGUAGGGGAGAAUGGAAUUCCCGGUGUAGCGGUGAAAUGCGCAGAUAUCGGGAGGAACACCGGUGGCGAAGGCGGUUCUCUGGGCCUUACCUGACGCUGAGGAGCGAAAGCGUGGGGAGCGAACA
This 407-nucleotide ribosomal RNA is filed under the name uncultured Actinoallomurus sp. RNAcentral's name for it is "bacterial SSU rRNA". It matches the Rfam family "Bacterial small subunit ribosomal RNA", at positions 355 to 774 of the family's 1533-position model. Lineage: Bacteria; Bacillati; Actinomycetota; Actinomycetes; Streptosporangiales; Thermomonosporaceae. The record is from RNAcentral.